AGAGUUUGAUCCUGGCUCAGGAUAAACGCUGGCGGCGUGCCUAACACAUGCAAGUCGAACGCUCUCUGGCAACAGAGAGAGUGGCGGACGGGUGAGUAACACGUGGGUACCUAUCCUUUAGUGAGGAAUACCGGCGAGAAAUCGCCGACAAUACCGCAUACGUUUGGCAACAAACAAAGCUUCGUAAGAGGCGCUAGAGG
This 200-nucleotide ribosomal RNA is filed under the name uncultured bacterium. RNAcentral's name for it is "partial 16S ribosomal RNA". It matches the Rfam family "Bacterial small subunit ribosomal RNA", at positions 8 to 224 of the family's 1533-position model. The record is from RNAcentral.